RNAcentral lists this ribosomal RNA (408 nucleotides) under uncultured bacterium. Its description in RNAcentral is "partial 16S ribosomal RNA". It matches the Rfam family "Bacterial small subunit ribosomal RNA", at positions 28 to 526 of the family's 1533-position model. The record is from RNAcentral.
GACGAACGCUGGCGGCGUUCUUAACACAUGCAAGUCGAACGAAGUGGCGAACGGGUGAGUAACGCGUAAUCAACCUGCCCUUCAUAGGGGGACAACAGUUGGAAACGACUGCUAAUACCGCAUACUGAAGGACGGGAUUGCGUCUGAUUAGCUAGUGGGAGGGGUAACGGCCCACCAAGGCGAUGAUCAGUAGCCGGACUGAGAGGAUGAUCGGCCACAUUGGGACUGAGACACGGCCCAGACUCCUACGGGAGGCAGCAGUGGGGAAUCGUGCGGAAUGGACGAAAGACUGACGGAGCAACGCGGCGUGAGUGAGGACGGACUUCGGGUUGUAGAGCUCUGUUAAGCGGGACGCGGUACCGGAAUAGAAAGCCACGGCUAACUACGUGCCAGCAGCCGCGGUAAUUC